This 261-nucleotide ribosomal RNA is filed under the name Acrorbis petricola. RNAcentral describes it as "partial large subunit ribosomal RNA". The record is from RNAcentral. Lineage: Eukaryota; Metazoa; Mollusca; Gastropoda; Planorbidae.
CAAUUGUCUUUUAAUUAAAGUCUGGAAUGAAAGGAAAAAUGAGGUUUAUCUGUCUUUUUAAUAAAAUUUUUAAUUUAAUUAUUUAGUGAAAAUACUAAUAAAAAGAAAAAAGACGAGAAGACCCUAAGAGUUUUAAAAUAAAAAAAAUUUUUUUGUUGGGGCGACAAAUAGUCAGGAAAAACACUAUUUUUUAUUUAUAAAACAUUUAAAUAAAAGAAAAAAUUACCUUAGGGAUAACAGCAUUAUAAAAAAUUUUGUUUG